GUUUUUGCUUCGGCAAGACAUAAAUCAAAAUUGGAAUGAUACAGAGAAGAUUAGCAUGGUACCAGCGCAAGCGUGACACGCAAAAUUGUGAAACGUUCCAGAUUUUU
This is a small nuclear RNA of Armigeres subalbatus, 107 nucleotides long. Lineage: Eukaryota; Metazoa; Arthropoda; Insecta; Diptera; Culicidae. The record is from RefSeq and is a predicted model, not a curated record.